Molecule: long non-coding RNA, 817 nt
Organism: Dreissena polymorpha
Lineage: Eukaryota; Metazoa; Mollusca; Bivalvia; Myida; Dreissenidae
Exons: 3
Source: RefSeq, a predicted model, not a curated record
CUUCCAUCUUGUUAAGAAACAAAGUAACUGACGUUACGCGUUAUUAAUGCAAUAUACAGUUAGGCGUUAAAUCGAUAAACAACGACGUAAUAAUUGUGUUUGAAUAUCAAUACGAAGUACACAUGCAUGUCUUUUGUGGAGAUCGAGUGUGGUUGUUUAGAUAUAUAUAUAUAUAUAUAUAAAUGACAUAAAUCUAUGUGUUAUUGUGAGCGACGAGUUGAAGAAAGGUUUACACGGCGAGGCUUUCCGAGACGUGUCGGAUAAAUGGAAAGUCGGUGAUAACUACCGCAGACGAUUCUGUCCACGCAGUCCGAAAACAGAUAAAGCAGCCAGGAAAAAAGCAGAUCACGUCCAACAAACACCAUCACCAUGGCAAUGAGACUGCAUUGACAAUGGACUAAAUUAAAAGCACUAAGCUCCUUAAGCUGUCACUGAGCCCUCACGUCAACAAGAACGGCAGUACCGUCGGACAGUUUCAAUUUCAUUUGAGAUUAACAAUGCGAUGCCGAAGCAAAGAAACCCAGAACAUUCUACUUUCGGUAAGACCAUUUACUGUAUGUAAAAGCCAUAACAAUGCAGACAUUAAUACUUUUUAAACUAACAUUUGAAUAUAGUUGCCCACUUAUGUUCCUUUAGUACGUCUUAAAGAAAAUGGGUUUACUUAAAAAGUAUGAGUUCCUAGCAUGCAUUCUGGAAAGAAAUAUCUUGAAGGCUUUUGCUGAUGUAUAACUUAAAGAUUUAAUUUGAACAUAUGGUGGGUUAUCUUCCGAAAUGUUCUAUUAUUUGGGUAAUUCACUUGCCAAUAACUCUAUCUAUA